GACGAACGCUGGCGGCGUGCUUAACACAUGCAAGUCGAACGGAAAGGCCCCUUUGGGGGUACUCGAGUGGCGAACGGGUGAGUAACACGUGAGUAACCUGCCCUUGACUUCGGGAUAACUUCAGGAAACUGGGGCUAAUACCGGAUAGGAAUCCUUGCUGCAUGGUGGGGGUUGGAAAGCUUCGGCGGUUUUGGAUGGACUCGCGGCUUAUCAGCUUGUUGGUGGGGUAGUGGCUUACCAAGGCUUUGACGGGUAGCCGGCCUGAGAGGGCGACCGGCCACAUUGGGACUGAGGUACGGCCCAGACUCCUACGGGAGGCAGCAGUGGGGAAUAUUGCACAAUGGGCGGAAGCCUGAUGCAGCAACGCCGCGGGCGGGAUGACGGCCUUCGGGUUGUAAACCGCUUUCAGCAGGGGCGAAGCUUGUGGUGACGGUACCUGCAGAAGAAGCACCGGCUAACUACGUG
Molecule: ribosomal RNA, 465 nt
Filed under: uncultured bacterium
Lineage: Bacteria
Description: partial 16S ribosomal RNA
Rfam family: Bacterial small subunit ribosomal RNA
Source: RNAcentral